RNAcentral lists this long non-coding RNA (1439 nucleotides) under Takifugu rubripes (torafugu). RNAcentral's name for it is "lncRNA (ENSTRUG00000030861.1)". Lineage: Eukaryota; Metazoa; Chordata; Actinopteri; Tetraodontiformes; Tetraodontidae. The record is from RNAcentral.
UUGCUUCAAUGGCCCUUUUUAUUAUCGUUCAUGUUGAGGAUAAUUAAGCAAGCCAAAAAUGUUACAUUUUAUGGUGCAUGGAAAAUAAAUGCAUCGUUUAAAAAUUAUAUUUGAAAAAAAACUUCCCGGAACAACCCUGAUUAUGCGACCUCCUGGAGGCCCGCGAACCUCAGGUUGCGCAUCCUUGCUCCAAACCGAGGGAGGUGGUGACGAUCCGCUUAUUUUGAUACCGAGUUCGGCUAAGAUGGACUCCCACUCUCCCAACACGGGGGUUUAGAAAGUUCUCCGCCUGCUGCUUCGACCUCUACCUGUUGUAGGAACCGAAACGCAGUCCAGGCCAUGUCGCUCCGGCGCGGAGCGUCGACGGAAGGGGGAGAAAGUGUGAACGGAGGAGGCGGAGGUGGAGAAGUGGUCCAGUCGAAUUAAUAAGAGAUGAACGCGUCUUUCUGCGUCGAAACUGCGGAUCCAUUUGGACACAACCAUGGCUGUCAACCGCGAAUUGGUGUGAAUUGAAACCUCCCGAGUGAGGUUUUGCUUCCCCCGGAGGCUGGAGCUACCGACAGACCGCGACGCUGCACCCGGGCUGUGAAACGCCGGAAUCCGCACAGACGCUGGUGUGUGGCGGCGGUUCUGUGGCGGUGCCGGGGUCCAGGGUCCACGGUCCACGGUCCCUGGUCAAACGACGUCUUCGUGGGUUUCUUUGCUCAUGCACAUGGCCGUGUGACCAUUUCCCCCCACCCAAGCAAAGGUCUCCACACUCCCUUCACACCCCGUCAUCACCCCCUCCUCCCCAGGAGACCAGCAGAAGAAUUCCUGGAUCGCCUUCCACCCCGUCCCAUCUCCCACCCUCAUUUCUGCCCUCAGAGCGGACACGUGCGUCAGUGUCGGGGUGUUGGAACAGCACGCCGCUCUGCCGUUGACAAAAUGAAAUGCUCUCCUGGAGUUUCCAGACUAAGUUCACCACAGUGACAUUGGCAGCAGGAAAUGUGGUAAAUGGCUCCUCAAAGCAAGAGAAAAUGCCAAAUGGAGGAGUUAAAGACUCGCCCUGCUUGGUAAUGAUGUGAACAAUUCACCUGUGGAAGCAGGAAAGUCAGAGGUGCCUUGCACGAGGGAACGCAGGGCAGUUUUCUUCAUAUUUCCAUUCAUUCACUUUGUUCUUUCGUGUUGGCGUGAUUCGGUAACAGGCCGGCGCCUGUGCCACCUUCGAUUCCACUUCCUGAAACCCCUUUCUUUCUUUUGUGUCACCCACCUAGCCUCCACCAUUCGCCCCUCCCUCACAACGGCCGUCCUCCCCCCUCGUCCCCGUCCCCAGUCAUCCUCCCUCUCCACAACUGCUUCCUCUGCCCCCGCCUCUCCUCGCCACCACCCUCCUCAUCAUCAACACCAUCACCACCCUCAGCACCUGCACCACAGCUACCAAACCCUCUCAUCCUCCCCGC